GUCACUUUAGGCGGGAUGAAAAUCAAAAACAUAUUCUGUGAAAAAUAUAAGUAUUAUUGCGGUGAUUUCUAUUACAAGUGUGAAAUUUUGAUAUUUAAAUUCGUUGCGUUUAUUAUAAAGCCGUACUUUUCAGAGGAUGUCCCAUAACAACUAUUUAGUAGUUCAAUGCUCGUUUGAUGAGGAGGAAUCGUAUCUUUUCGUGCUACCUUCUUCAUGGGUCGUGGAAAAAGGUUGGAACAAAGGUGUUCGUGAUAAAUUAACGGCAUUAGACGGAGGAGAUAUUUGUUACUGGCCGGCGAAAGCUGCUGGCUACCGAUUGCUGGAAAAAGCCAAGAAAACAACCAACAUAAGCAUCGACAAAAAUUUGCUUAUCCCUUACCGAUGCAAAAUUAAACGUAUUGGUUUUGAAACGUACAAUGAUGCAUGCAAAGAACAGAAGCUAAUGGAAAUGCACUCAGAUACAGAUAAUA
Long non-coding RNA from Topomyia yanbarensis, 470 nucleotides. RefSeq lists it as uncharacterized. Lineage: Eukaryota; Metazoa; Arthropoda; Insecta; Diptera; Culicidae. The transcript is spliced from 3 exons. The record is from RefSeq and is a predicted model, not a curated record.